Molecule: long non-coding RNA, 1814 nt
Organism: Topomyia yanbarensis
Lineage: Eukaryota; Metazoa; Arthropoda; Insecta; Diptera; Culicidae
Exons: 3
Source: RefSeq, a predicted model, not a curated record
AACAGCCUCUAGGUGAAUUCCCUUUGUUGCCAUGCACACGAACACGCAUAUAUACCCUUUGACAGGGGCUGCCUUCCGUCCAGCUUGCUUAAUUAGAAACGGACCAGCAAAAUCCAAGCCAACCUUCUGGAAUGAUGGUGCUCUGUCACAGCGACUCGACGGAAGGUCUCCCAUAAACUGCUCCAUUGUAAUUGGAUUGACCUUGAAACAUUUAACGCAACUCCGUGUGAUAUUGCGGACAACAGAGCGGCCGUUGGUUAUCCAAAACUGUCUCCGAACAGUAGCUAACAGUGACAAAGGGCCAAUAUGCAAAUUUUCUUGGUGAAUGCAUCUGACCAGACUUUGCACAACUGGACUUCGGUGAGGUAGAAUCCAUUGGUGCUUGGUAGAAUACGUUUCGGCAAAAUCGCACAACAAAGGCAAAUAUGCGCUGCAGUUUCCGGAAGGAAGCGAUUCUCUCGAACAAAAGACGAAAAGAUUCGUACUGAACCGCCACGCUGACGAUCGUAGAAUGACGAAGCUCAGGCAAGGACCACCUGGCUAUCAGACCACAACACUAUUUUUCUGAAGGAAAGAUGCACUACCUCCAAAAUAUUCUUUACUAAACGGUGCAGCAAACGAGCAGCCAAAAGCUCUUUACGUGGAAUCGUAAGAACUGACUUCGGGACUAAUUUAGAUUUGGCACACAAUAAUCGCACUACUGGAGGUUCUCCAGAGACAAUGGAUUUAACAUACACACAGGCUCCAUACGCAAACUGGAAUGCAUCUGCAUAACCAUGAAGCUCAUAAGCAGAAGCAUUUGUUAUCACCACCAUACGCGGAAUUCGGAUCAUAUUGACAUCACACACUGCUUCCAGGAAGUCUUCGAAAUCUUUCACUAAAUCGGUCGGUAUUGGUUCAUCCCAUCCAACUCUUCUUUCCCAGAUUCGCUGCAUCAACAAUUUUCCUAUAAGAACCACAGGCGCAGCAGUUCCAGUCGGAUCAAAUAUACUCGCGACUAGCGAAAGCACUUGCCUCUUUGUCGGUAGCUUGCAGGGCACUGCUGAUGGUGAAACAAAAAGCAACUGGUCCAUUGUGGGAUCCCACAGCAAUCCCAAUGCCUUGAUGACCUCAUUUACGGAUCCUCCAACACAGGUAAGCUCUUCACGAUCAGCUUCCGGGAUAAUUUGCAGCAGCUCUGGGCAGUUUGAAGCCCACUUAUGCAACUCGAAUCCACCCGUCUUCAACAUCUUAAUCAGCUGUGUUUGUGCCUCUGUUGCAUGAGAAAUAUCAUCAAAGCCGAACAGGGCAUUGUCCACAUAAAAAUCUUCUUCAACUAUCCUGGCUGCCAUUGGGAAUCUUUUUCUCUCGUCACUGGCUAGCUGCUGGAGUGCUCUUGUGGCCAGGAAAGGCGCAGAUGCUGUACCGUAAGUGACGGUUGUUAACUCCAACACUCUCAUAGGGCUUGAUGGCUCAUCUCUCCAGAACACGCGUUGAAGUGGGGAGUGUUGCUUGUCGACAAGGACUUGUCGAUACAUUUUUGCGACGUCGGUUGUUAGCGCGUAGCGCGGGAAUCGAAAGCGCAGGACAAUUGAAAUUAAUGUAUUUUGAUUUAAAUUACCUACCAUCAUUACAUCGUUGAGCGCCAAACCAGCUAUUUUGGCAGAAGCAUCAAAAACUACACGGCAUUUAGUAGUUGUAUUCGAUGGACGCAGAACAGCGUGGUGGGGUAGGUACCACCUUUUUAUGUCAGCUGGAUCCUCACUUUCCCUUAUCUCUUUGCAGUGGCCGAGCUCUUCAUACUCAUUCAUGAACUCGACGUACUGCCUUUUCAA